GCUUAUAGACCACUUGAGAAAGCAGUGGCGUGGGUGGCCCUGCAGCCAUGAUGUUCUGCCAGGGGCGGGGCCUGCACUGUGCUCGCUCAUCUGUGGCCACCUAGGAUUCCACCCUGCAUCACUCCUUUUCUCUUCUCCUGGAGAUCAUUCUAAACCCCGCCAAAGUGGAGAGGCCCCUGUUCCCCCACCAGUCCUGCACGGAUACUGGGGUUCCUCUGCUAUUCUUCCCCUCCGAGAGCCAGUUCCCAGGCCAGCAAUAAACAUACCUCUUCCCUCCAUGCUCUGAUAGCCCCACUCCAAAAAGAAGGUGUCUCUCCCUUUCUACCAGACUCAAUCUUAGAGUGCCCCUAGCCACCUGCAAUGCCAGGAUGGCUCGUGCCCAUGACAGAGGUUUGGAGGCUGAGGGAUGCUGUCAUAGAGCAUCCUCAUAGAUGGUUAGAGGAGGUGUGGCUUCACUUUCCUAUGGCCCCUGUUACUACAGAGACUCCCAUCCAGGCUACAGCCUGUUACAACCAGGCUCCUCUCCUCCAUAAGGUUUUCUGCUCUGUGUCUCGGCCCUCAUCCCACCAUGCCAGCCCAGCAAGUCUGCUCAGCGUGUCUAUCCCCUGGCUCCCUCCUACUUUGCCUUCCAUCCACCUAAAGGGCCUCUUCCAGUCAUCCAUACUCUGCCUCAGGAGACAAUAGUGAUCUAUCUCCAGAACCCACUUUCUAUGUACACAGGCCCUGCUGGAUAUUUUGUCCUUGGGUCCCACUCAUGCCAGUAUGUGCCAACAUCUAACCACAGCACCAUGGCUCUCUGUCCCAUGAGCACCUUCUAUAGACCAGGUGUACGUGGGGGCACUUUCCAUGCUUCAUUUAUAUUCUCUCAGCAACCUUGAGAUAUAUGGGUUUAUUACCCCCAUUCUAAAAACAAGGAGACAGAGUCCUAGAAAGACGGCUUCACUUACAAAGCCAUCAUCAGCUGCUAAUCAGUGAUGUUGGGAUAUGAACUCAUCAGGCUGUAUGGCUUAUAGUGUGCUCUGUUACCUCCCAGAACACCUUCACAAAAGGGAGUGUCAUGAAUGGGAACCUAUACACCUGCAUCUCGCUGGAGGGUGAGCUCUCAUGGAUGACAGCAGAUCAUCCAUUUAUGCCUGAGGCCCCCAUAACACACUUCACUUCAAGGUAACUGGCCAGGGACAACCAGAGACCCCUUUCUUCUCCCCCUCUACUGCCACAGUAGAUGGUGUCCAAAUGCCAGCUUCUAUGUCUGUAACAGAGACCAAUGGGCAGGGUCUACUCUCAGCCUUCUGGCCAGUCACCAAGUCAGUUUUCUCAGUCUUACCUAUGGCUCCAAACCCAGUUAACCAGAGAAUCAAAGCAACUCUCUUGCCACAGCCACAGAACCAGAGCACAACACCUCAGCCCUCAAGCAUGUCACAGUCCUUUGCUCAAACGAGGGUUGGCUGGAGGCUUCCUGUCAGUCACUUAGUGUACAGUGGCCGACAGAGGGAACAAGACAGACGUGUUCUCACGGGGAGCGCUCCUUCCAGGUGAUUUGUAGCUAGGCUGUUGUUUGGGGUCUGAGAAGCAUAAAUCUCAGGUAUUACAGUUUUCACUUUGGUCUGCGAACUAUAAUCUCAUUGGAGGUGCAAUGUCCAUGAGGCUCGCAAGUCUCUAAUUCUAAAUCUCCCCCAGGGUGAGAGAACAAGAGCUGGACAAAAACCAAGGAAACUGCUUCCAUGCAGGGCUGCUCGGCCACAGAGCACAGUUGGAGGCUAGGAAGCACAGUGACACAAGGGUGGCUCUUGGACAUACAGACCCACGAGGUAACCCUGUGUGCUCAGGAGAUACUAUUUACGUUUCCAUGGACCAACUCCUCCACGGGUUCUGCCCACCAACAUCUCCAUGGUGAGUGAUAUACAGAUAGAUAGUUGAGCACCUACUGUGUGCUCAGUGUUUCGAGAACCCUGCCAUCUACUCCUCACAAAACCCGACCAGAACAAAGCUAAAGUGGCAAAGGUGAAGUAACUGGCCCAAAGCCUGGUGGGUCCUGACCCACACUGUGGGGUAGGAAUACACUCAGCCACACACAUCCAUUGCUAAAUUCUUUCCCUGGGAGAGACACAGACAACUUCUACCCUUCCUCCUAAGGUCCUCAUGACAAAACAAGACACAAUUCCACCAAAGUUCACUCUCUUGGAGCCAAUGAUAAUGAGUGAGGGUUGUGGUGAGCAGCAUGGGUGACCCGAAAGCAGCCACCCUGAAAGAUUCACACCCAACAUGGCUUCGCCAUGGAUGUAUAAAAGGAACCCCUGCCUGCCUUCAUCCUUUGACACUUAUAUCUUAUAGCCCCACCCCCAGGCUACCAGGUCACAUACAAUUAAGGCAUAAUUGCAUACAGCUGGUUAGGACAGUGGCUGGAUACUCAGGUGAGGGUCUCAGGCUCUCCCCAAUUCUCCUCCUAAGAGGGAAAGUCUAGAGUGAACAGGCACAGCUAUGCUACUCUUGUGAGCAGGCAUAGCAGAAUUCAAAAAGGGCAGCAGUUUGGCUUGGAGAACAGUCUUGAAGUACAGUCUUAAAAAACGAGACUGUCAUCAGCUUUAAAAAUAGAUAUGGAUGAGUCUGCGGCAGGUACGGAUCCCAGCAGAAAGCUGGGAACACGCUGGAGACCUGACCCUCGGGAGGGCGUUUCUGAUUAUCUAGACCAGUACUGCUCUGCUCUCACUGGUUUCCUUGUGGCUAAUCAUCUGACCAAAUGCAAUGAAAUAAAGGGGUUACCCUGACUGACAGCUUCAGGGAGUAGGAUCUAUCGUGGUGGGGAAGGCAGCAGGAGCAGGAGAGGGCAGUCAGGAAGCAGAAGGCAAUGAAUACUCAUGCUCAGCUCACUUACUCCUUUCUAAGCCCUCUGAGGCUCCACCCCACCCCCACCCCCAUCCCUACCCCAGCCAGCUAUUUAGCAUGGGUCUUUGCUCCUCGGUUAACCUUAUCUCCAUUCCUUCGACUAUCUCCUGAGUGACUCUAGACCCCCUGUCAAACUGACACUCAAUAUAAACCAUCCCAACCUGGAGAAGAAGAAAAAAAAGCAUCGCUUCCCAAGUCCUAAGUAAAGUUAGAGUGCACCCCCAAAGUAACAGAACGCAGGAGAGCUCAAUUACAGCAGGGAGGCAGAACCCAGAAGGAGCAACUUCUGCAGAGCAGGAGCAUUCUCGAACACAUCUGCCUGGAAACACGGUUUCCACACACACCUGCUGGUCAACCUCACUUAACCCCCAGUUACCCCUGUACCACGUUCAGCCUCAGGCUCUGUCCCAGCUGCUCUCUCACUCCAAGCGUGGAUCUCUGAAUACAGAAUUUCUUGUAGGAGAAGUCCUACCCUUGCUGUGUUUCCAGGAUGUGACAAAGAGUGGUCCCAUGCUCACCGUGCUGCCCUGCAAGGUGCCGCUAGGUCAUCAAGUUCACAUCUUUGCACAUCUAUUGAAAAAAUAAACUGUACUUACAAUAUGUGGUUUUUGUGGAAAUAUGAAAAUAAAUAACACUAUGGCUUCUCAGCCCUUGGGCUAAUGUUAAGUGCUGAUUGGUUCUGCUUCUGCCCUUGGGGCAUUAAGGCACCUUUGUACAUCAGGCGGGACUGGAAGGAAGGAAGCUUAUCCAAGUGGGUGGGGUUCCACAAGAUCUCAGGUCUCGGCUGAUGUGAGUGUGGGAGAAAUAGCCUUCUCCAGAGACCGUUUUAAGUGAAAUAGCUCUCUUUUAUUGGGGGGUGCAUGCCUUUAAUCCAGCAGUGAGGUGGAUGAGACAGGAGAAUCUCAGGUCAAAGAUCAGCCUGGGCUACAGGGAAUGACAUUGUCUCAAUAACAACAACAGAGAAUACCACCGAAAGAUAGAAAUAUGAAAUGCACUCUAAUCACCUUUGCUGGCGGUGUCACUCCUCUGUGGCAGUGUUUCUAAUGUUUCUAUAGUUUGGGGACCCUACUGCCCACUCUCUGUAACUUAGUGCACUUCCCACUACCCACUCCCACCUGCUCUUUCUAAAUGUCUCAUCAUUACACAGUGUACUUGGACAAGUGGGCUCAUAGACACAUUUCUGAACACACUGACUUCUUAUUCUCAGGCAAUUCCUAGAAGUGCUGGGCUACAGGGUAAGUGCAUUUUAAAGGCUUCAGUGAGUGCAUUUGCCCUCCAGGAAGAUUAGACUGGCUUCUCCUAAUGGCUAUGGAUGACUGGGGAAGCCAUCUAUUUAAGCAUUAGCUGUGUUCUUGGGGCUUUCCUUUCUGGC
This 4255-nucleotide long non-coding RNA is filed under the name Mus musculus (house mouse). RNAcentral's name for it is "long non-coding RNA chr7:132389621-132393876". Lineage: Eukaryota; Metazoa; Chordata; Mammalia; Rodentia; Muridae. The record is from RNAcentral.